GGCGAAGAAUCUUUUGAAUACUCUCGGCACGAUGAAGACCGUGGUAGAUCUCGAUGAGCUGGAGGAAGGCA
This 71-nucleotide ribosomal RNA is filed under the name Scyphosphaera apsteinii. RNAcentral's name for it is "partial 5.8S ribosomal RNA". Lineage: Eukaryota; Haptophyta; Coccosphaerales; Pontosphaeraceae. The record is from RNAcentral.